GAUGAACGCUGGCGGCGUGCCUAACACAUGCAAGUCGAGCGAUUCUCUUCGGAGAAGAGCGGCGGACGGGUGAGUAACGCGUGGGUAACCUGCCCUGUACACACGGAUAACAUACCGAAAGGUAUGCUAAUACGAGAUAAUAUGCUUUUAUCGCAUGGGAGAAGUAUCAAAGCUUUUGCGGUACAGGAUGGACCCGCGUCUGAUUAGCUAGUUGGUAAGGUAACGGCUUACCAAGGCGACGAUCAGUAGCCGACCUGAGAGGGUGAUCGGCCACAUUGGAACUGAGACACGGUCCAAACUCCUACGGGAGGCAGCAGUGGGGAAUAUUGCACAAUGGGCGAAAGCCUGAUGCAGCAACGCCGCGUGAGCGAUGAAGGCCUUCGGGUCGUAAAGUUCUGUCCUCAAGGAAGAUAAUGACGGUACUUGAGGAGGAAGCCCCGGCUAACUACGUG
This 452-nucleotide ribosomal RNA is filed under the name uncultured bacterium. Its description in RNAcentral is "partial 16S ribosomal RNA". It matches the Rfam family "Bacterial small subunit ribosomal RNA", at positions 28 to 507 of the family's 1533-position model. The record is from RNAcentral.